RNAcentral lists this ribosomal RNA (247 nucleotides) under uncultured bacterium. Its description in RNAcentral is "partial 16S ribosomal RNA". It matches the Rfam family "Bacterial small subunit ribosomal RNA", at positions 86 to 334 of the family's 1533-position model. The record is from RNAcentral.
AGAUGGCGACCGGCGCACGGGUGAGUAACACGUAUCCAACCUGCCGAUAACUCGGGGAUAGCCUUUCGAAAGAAAGAUUAAUGCCCGAUGGCAUAAUAGAACCGCAUGGUUUGAUUAUUAAAGAAUUUCGGUUAUCGAUGGGGAUGCGUUCCAUUAGGCAGUUGGUGGGGUAACGGCCCACCAAACCUUCGAUGGAUAGGGGUUCUGAGAGGAAGGUCCCCCACAUUGGAACUGAGACACGGUCCAA